AAAAUCUUCCAAACAGACCCUUAUUCUCUCUUUUUUUUCUUCUUCUUUUAUGAUUGUGACAAGUAUCAAAGGGAUCCUUCCCUUAAUAAUUUUCAUCAGAAUAAAAUUUAAAUAAUUAAUGUAUUUAAAGCUAAUUUUAAAGUAAAUACUUCAAUUUUUUUAAAAUAUUAUUGAAGUAGUUAUUAGAGGAAAAGAGCCAAGAUAG
This 205-nucleotide long non-coding RNA is filed under the name Lathyrus oleraceus (garden pea). Its description in RNAcentral is "Pisum sativum (pea) long non-coding RNA (PSAT_LNC036918)". The record is from RNAcentral. Lineage: Eukaryota; Viridiplantae; Streptophyta; Magnoliopsida; Fabales; Fabaceae.